This 495-nucleotide ribosomal RNA is filed under the name uncultured bacterium. Its description in RNAcentral is "bacterial SSU rRNA". It matches the Rfam family "Bacterial small subunit ribosomal RNA", at positions 30 to 521 of the family's 1533-position model. The record is from RNAcentral.
AUUGAACGCUGGCGGCAUGCCUUACACAUGCAAGUCGAACGGUAACAGGUCUUCGGAUGCUGACGAGUGGCGAACGGGUGAGUAAUACAUCGGAACGUGCCCGAUCGUGGGGGAUAACGAAGCGAAAGCUUUGCUAAUACCGCAUACGAUCUACGGAUGAAAGCAGGGGACCGCAAGGCCUUGCGCGAACGGAGCGGCCGAUGGCAGAUUAGGUAGUUGGUGGGAUAAAAGCUUACCAAGCCGACGAUCUGUAGCUGGUCUGAGAGGACGACCAGCCACACUGGGACUGAGACACGGCCCAGACUCCUACGGGAGGCAGCAGUGGGGAAUUUUGGACAAUGGGCGAAAGCCUGAUCCAGCCAUGCCGCGUGCAGGAUGAAGGCCUUCGGGUUGUAAACUGCUUUUGUACGGAACGAAAGACUCUGGUUAAUACCUGGAGUCCAUGACGGUACCGUAAGAAUAAGCACCGGCUAACUACGUGCCAGCAGCCGCGGU